AAAUUGAAGAGUUUGAUCAUGGCUCAGAUUGAACGCUGGCGGCAGGCCUAACACAUGCAAGUCGAACGGUAACAGGAAGCAGCUUGCUGCUUCGCUGACGAGUGGCGGACGGGUGAGUAAUGUCUGGGAAACUGCCUGAUGGAGGGGGAUAACUACUGGAAACGGUGGCUAAUACCGCAUAAUGUCGCAAGACCAAAGAGGGGGACCUUCGGGCCUCUUGCCAUCAGAUGUGCCCAGAUGGGAUUAGCUAGUUGGUGAGGUAACGGCUCACCAAGGCGACGAUCCCUAGCUGGUCUGAGAGGAUGACCAGCCACACUGGAACUGAGACACGGUCCAGACUCCUACGGGAGGCAGCAGUGGGGAAUAUUGCACAAUGGGCGCAAGCCUGAUGCAGCCAUGCCGCGUGUAUGAAGAAGGCCUUCGGGUUGUAAAGUACUUUCAGCGGGGAGGAAGGUGUUG
RNAcentral lists this ribosomal RNA (459 nucleotides) under Salmonella enterica. RNAcentral describes it as "bacterial SSU rRNA". It matches the Rfam family "Bacterial small subunit ribosomal RNA", at positions 1 to 456 of the family's 1533-position model. The record is from RNAcentral. Lineage: Bacteria; Pseudomonadati; Pseudomonadota; Gammaproteobacteria; Enterobacterales; Enterobacteriaceae.